RNAcentral lists this non-coding RNA (55 nucleotides) under Streptomyces griseus subsp. griseus NBRC 13350. Lineage: Bacteria; Bacillati; Actinomycetota; Actinomycetes; Kitasatosporales; Streptomycetaceae. RNAcentral also lists the same sequence under 2 other names. The record is from RNAcentral.
CCCCGUAGAAUUGAACCGACACCCGGCCGGGCGGCCGGGUGGUGACCCGAGGAGC